This 427-nucleotide ribosomal RNA is filed under the name uncultured bacterium. RNAcentral's name for it is "partial 16S ribosomal RNA". It matches the Rfam family "Bacterial small subunit ribosomal RNA", at positions 354 to 796 of the family's 1533-position model. The record is from RNAcentral.
GUGAGGAAUCUUCCACAAUGGGCGAAAGCCUGAUGGAGCAACGCCGCGUGAAGGAUGAAGGUCUUCGGAUUGUAAACUUCUUUUAUGAGUGAAGAAUAUGACGGUAACUCAUGAAUAAGCACCGGCUAACUACGUGCCAGCAGCCGCGGUCAUACGUAGGGUGCAAGCAUUAUCCGGAGUGACUGGGCGUAAAGAGUUGCGUAGGCGGUUAUGUAAGCGAAUAGUGAAACCUGGUGGCUCAACCACACAGACUAUUAUUCGAACUGCAUAACUCGAGAAUGGUAGAGGUAACUGGAAUUUCUUGUGUAGGAGUGAAAUCCGUAGAUAUAAGAAGGAACACCAAUGGCGUAGGCAGGUUACUGGGCCAUUUCUGACGCUAAGGCACGAAAGCGUGGGGAACGAACCGGAUUAGAAACCCGGGUAGUCC